This 92-nucleotide transfer RNA is filed under the name Caballeronia udeis. RNAcentral's name for it is "Paraburkholderia udeis tRNA-Glu". Lineage: Bacteria; Pseudomonadati; Pseudomonadota; Betaproteobacteria; Burkholderiales; Burkholderiaceae. The record is from RNAcentral.
AACGGCAUGGCCGGGUACAGCAGGCUGCCGUCUUUCGAGCGGCCGACGUGGAUUGACCGGUAGAAGUCGUCCGACGUCCACUUGCCGAUGCC